GGAUGUGAGGGCAAUCUGUCUGCAACAUCUGUCACCCCAUUUAUUGCCAGGGUUGAUUCAGCUGAUCUGGCUGACUAGACUGGGGUCCCCUUCCUCCCUCUCCACUCCAUGUGCAUCCCUCCUAAACCUGCAUACCUGGCCACCCCCAUAGUGGAGGACCGUAUCUGAGUAGCUGCGCUCCCCAGCUAGAACCACCAAACAAGCUCUCAAGGCCCACAGUAUGUUCAAGGCCAACCUGAACUACAUAGAGAGAUCCUCAAAAAUAUAAAGCAAACAAAUGAACAAAAGGUAGGUGACACUUCACUUGCUCUUGGUGAAUUU
Fukomys damarensis (Damara mole-rat) is the source of this 321-nucleotide unclassified non-coding RNA. Its record names the gene 7SK. It matches the Rfam family "7SK RNA". From Rfam's summary of the family: 7SK was discovered as an abundant small nuclear RNA in the mid-70s but a possible function has only recently been suggested. Two independent studies have found that 7SK RNA binds the CDK9/cyclin T complex (known as elongation factor P-TEFb). NCBI's taxonomy places the organism in Eukaryota, Metazoa, Chordata, Mammalia, Rodentia, Bathyergidae. The record is from Ensembl.